UGUAUUGCUCUUAUUACCGCUAUUAUUAAUAUUUGCCAUUCAGCCCAGGCUGAGCUCAUUGCAGCCUCACGCGCAGCCUGAGCUCUCCUCACCGCGGGUGCAGCCGGGCGCUACCAGCAAAGCCCUGCAGAAGGCUGCGGGACAGCGCGGCUGCGGGGAAGGGGACUGCAGCCCUUCUUUCUCCCAUAUGUCACGAGCAUGUCAUGAGAUGAUGACAAAAUAAUAACAAGUUGGUGGCUGUUUGAAACUUUUUUUUUUUAGCAGCUGUGUUUUUAGAAUAUUCUAAUUAACCAUCCGCUUGCCUUAAUCACUUUAAGAUUUCUGAAAUAGCUGAGAGCUUGCUGCACCUUCUCUCGACACCAGUCUUCCCCAUGUGGGGACCAUGGCUUUGUUUUUCGGAAGGGAGGGCAGAAGCAGGAGGGCCAGGCUGGAAACACGCAGUCAGGUUUGUCAUUGGCAAGAAUUGCCGACACCAUCGUGCAGUGAUUUUAACUUGCAGCCACUGUCGUACCAGCAAGAAAAGAGGUGACGUUGCCUUUCAUCUGCACAAUGACUGACUCACUUCGCCUGGACUCGGUUUUGCAAAAUUUAAAUGCAGUAAGUGAGGUAUUUGUCGGAAGAAUAAAAGGGUGAACAGUGAGUAAAGGGAAAAAUAUUUGUCAGCCUGCCAGGGAGAAGGAAGAUUAAAAGCUGCCUGUGAAUGAGGCAUGUGGAUGGCACAGCCAUCUCGCCACUCAGUGCCGUUGCCUGCAUCAGGUAAAAGCGGAGGGCUUUAUCUCCAGAACGCACUCCUGUCUGUCAGCGUUAGUUGUUUUCUUAAAUGACAUGUUUUCUUCUGGCAGAUGGGAACAAGCCUUGAAGAAUAAUUUUUUUGGAGGCAGACAAAUUGGCUGCCUGGAAAUGCGUGUGUGUUCGGGAACCUGGUGGCUCUUGGCGCGGGUUGGUGGUGCCCAGCUCACCUCGCCCUGUGGCCUCUGCAGGCCAUGCCUGUCCCCAGCCUGCCACGUGCUCUGAGCAUCGCCCAUGUUACUUUGUGCCCGCAGUACAAAACUUCCUGCUGGCUGUUUCUCCAGCCAGGGGAUUUUACCAAAAUUGAGCUUUGGGCAUGGUGAGCUGGCAGCAGAAGGCAGCAGCUGGAAAGGGUUUUGAACACGGCAGCGGUGCCUGAAGUUUGGCAGCAAGGGAAUGAAACAGUCAACUGAGUCCAAAUCCAUCACCUGGAAGCCCCCGGCAGUGCACGUGGCGCAGUGAUGGUGGGCUCAAGCACAGGCAUCGCUGUCCACUCUGUUGAGCAGGUGGUAUUUGUGGCAGCUCCUCACCGGGCUGUCCUCUCCCUCGUGGCAGUGCGCAUUACCUCCUUCCCUUGCCACAGAGCUGAGCACACUGACAGAUCUCUUCUUUGGGUAACCUUCAGCAUCCUCAGAGAUCUUGAUCCUAACAAGGGGAUUCCAGCAUUCCACACACGGGCACGUCUGCACACAAACAUACAUGUGCCUUCAGACACCUGCAGUUUUCCUUCUCCUUCUCUAUAAAUAUAUACACACAUAUGUACAUCCACAGAUACACAGGCAUGUGUGCGUAUAUGUGUGUGCAAAGAGGGGAGGGGAAAGACACUCAGAAAAUGAAAGACAAAUGUUCAAAAAUAAUAUUCCCAAGCCCUCAAAUCCCUAAUCAUGAGUUUGAUGCAAUAUUUGCCCUAAUGGGAAAUGAUAACUGGCAAUAGUCCAAAGCAAACCUCUUAGAAAGGAGCAAUAAAAAAGGAAAAUGCUAGCUUGGCAGUUAAAGAAAGAGGAGCCGAAGCGAGAACUGCUGUCGGAGAUAAUAAAGAAUUAACCACAAACCCCUUUUCUAUUAAGCACAAAAAAGGAUAUUAAAAUAACAUGCCCCCUCCCUAAAUAUCUAAGGGGUUGUGUCAUACUUUUCUCUGCAGCCUCCCUGGGACUGGCGGAGCUGGGGGCUGCAGCCCAACCCCCCGCCUCUCCGCGCCCACUCCUGCCAGGGCAGCUGCUCCACACUCACACACUUGCUUCUUGCCUGCACGCUGUGGGCACGAUCCCGAUCUUUACCAUCAGAGGGAAUGGGGGCAUGGCCUGAGGGGGUGUGAGCGGGACAGUGAGCUGCAGGGAGCUAUGCCGAUCCUCAAUCCAGCAAAUGUGAAGUCCCCACUGUCCUUGCAAUUCCCUUGCAGUGCCCUCGCAGCACCCUUGCUGCUCUGGUCAGCUCCUGCAGAGUCUGGGGACAGCUACAGGGACAAAACUGUAUCUUGUGCAGUAUGUCUGUGGGAAACCAUUGAUAAACUUGGCCGUGAAAGUAGGUUUUGUGAAUUACAUGUAGCUUAUGGAUGUCAUCUGUUUAACCAACAUCUUCCUGUGUGUGUAGAGCACACCAACACAGCAAUAACAGCUGUUUCUUCUUGCUCUAAGGGGCUGCCCACUGUUUGGUCCUGCUACCUCCCAUUGCACCCAUUGCUUAGUGAGACAACUGCAUGAUGAGCUGCUACCAGCACCUCCAAAGCACUUCCUCGUGGAUUUAAUCAGUCCCUAAGAUGUCAACAAGAUAAUCAGUUUGGCCAUCCAAAAUGGAAAGGGGAAGAAAAGAAAGGUUUGACACGCAGUGGCAGACAUGUAAAAAUGACUACAUGCCUUCCCGAGACAAAGGUAUCCAGCGCCUGCAUGAUUGCUUCACUGUCGUCACCACUGGGUUUUAAGUAUUUAUUCCCUUUGUCUCUUUUGGAAGAUAAAAUAUAAAGUACAGCUUCGCCAAAGUAAUCACGUCCUCUUUUUUUAUUUUUUUUUUUAAACAGACUGCCUUCUCCCCCUGUCCUCUCGGUCUUGUAAUUUCACCAGAUUGUGCAAGUGUUAAACACGACGUCCAGAAAUAAAAGGAAAGGGAGAGGGAGAGGGAGCGGAGCGAGCCUGGCUGGCGGCAGGCUGGGGUCGGGGCAGAGCCCCACGGCUCACCCUGCCCUGUGCCCGGGUGCUUGCAGCCAGGCUGCCGGCAGCAGGCAGGGUGCAGCCCAGUGCCUUUGGGCUUGGGGGCUUUUUUUGAAGUGGUUUGGUUGGGUUUUUUUUCCUGAUGCGUGUGUAUUGCGUUUAUUUGCUGCCUCUGCUAUGGAGGUGUGCUGGGGAAGCAGAGAAGAGCUACAGAAAUAGCCAGAAAGUUGUCCCGUAUUUCCUUGUUGCCUUCUUUGGACAGGCACCUCACCCCUGCAGCUCUGGCAUCCCCGACACUAUUGGAACGGUGCUGGCAGCGCUAGCUCUGACUCGGACACCCGGCCCUAGCUGGGGAAUGGGGUCCCCUCCCUCUGCCCCGUGCCAGGGGAUGUGUCCCGUUGCAGCCAGACCCUGCCCAGAGCGUGGCACCGCACCGCUCAGCCAGCAAGGUGCAGCCCAGGAAGCCUGGGAAUCAGCAACUUGCAUCAAUGCUUGCAUCUCCUGGUGGCCUGCAGACAGAGAACGGCUCCAAGCAGGAAGGAUGCGAGCAGAAAAGCAUCUUUGAAGGCAAAGGUGGCUUCAGUCCUCUUCAAAUCAAGGUCAGAAUGCUGCUCCUCCCAGGCUGGUGCUGGGAGCAAGAACAGUUAUGCUGGGAAAGAGGAAAGACACAGAUAAAUGGUAGGCAAAGGCCAGCACAUACCAAAGCAGGCACCUGAGAGCAGUGUGAUUAACUGCAGGAUGGUGCUUUACAAAGCCCUGUGAAAACAACCAGUAGUUACAUGAGGGAACCUGAGAGAGAUCAUCAAGGAGAAACGUGCCAGGUCAUCCUGACAGAGACGCAUCACACUUUGUUGACAUGUGGCACCAAGCAAUUAAGCUCAGCAAUUUAGGAAAACACCUAUUUUUACCCAUGAGGCAAUGCCCAUCACCACUGCUAAGAGAUUUUAAAAUGGGCCAUGAUGGCCAAGCCCAGUUUGAUUUUAGCAACCUUCACGAGUUGAUAUAGAAGGGUAAAAUGUCAAAGGGGGUGGCUUCCUGCUCCCACUGUAGGCCCUUUAAUGAUAGUCAUUACUGUAAGGAAACAGGGAGGUCUCACCUCAUUGCAGCUGCUGCUAGUGCAAUGCUGUCAGCAGGCACUCUGGUGGCAGGUGGCAGAGCCUGCGCCUUCCCUCUAGCAACACCAGGGCCAAUGCAGUGAGCAGACUGCACCCCCAGCCUCAGCCUUGGAAAAGAAAAGUUAGUUCUGGUGGAGUGAAAGGAUUCCUGAGGACAACUUUCAGUAAAGGCAAACUUGAACCACAAUCUGACACAACAGCCAAUAAACAGCUUCAAGAUAAUCGCACGUACCUCUGUGGUAGGCAGUGGUCUAACCCAGGCAGAGAUGCUUUUAGAACAUGGCUUUUCUCACCAGCCCUUGAUAUUUUUCUUGUGAUCGAGGCAACAUCUACAGUGAAAAACCUACGCCACAGCUGUCAGGGCUUCUCUCCAGCAGAUAAUUAAAUUCCAACUCAAUUGCCAUUGUGACAAGUGAGCUCAAGUUUGGUGGUACCAUGCCCGCCAGCCGAACGCAGGCGAGAGCCAUCAGCUGCACAGUCGUUAAUGGCUGUGCAGGAAGCAGAGGUGCUGCGGUACUUACUGGCACCCCGCAGCAGGUGGUCAGCCUCCCAGAGACUGACAAUAGCAGGGGCACAUCUCGAGAUGUGAAUGCAUUUGGAUUCGCAUGCUUACGUGGGAGGCCUGGCAAAAGUGGAGUGAGUCAACAAGUUUAGAGGACUUUCAAGAUCUCUUCCACACCAGAGAAAGGCAGGGUUUAGCCUGGGUUGGUGCGUGGUAGGAUUGCUAAAUGCAAAAAGACAAAGUCAUCCGAGUUCUCUGCUUUGGAUUGCACUCUCAAGUUGCUCUUUUAGAUAAAGAGUUUAUUUUUUUCCUCUCCACUUGAUUACAAUAUGCACAUCCCAUGUUUUUGCAGAUACAUCUCUUCUCCAUAGAAGAGAGCAUUUAAACUGAGUUUAUCCAUUAAAAAUCAGACUGCACAUUAGCUUAGAUUUAUUUAGCUUCCUAAUAACUGCUUUUUCGUAGCUGGCCCACUUCAUAUGUAAAUCCACUGUGUAUUUGUAGGCUUGUUACUGAACUUUACAAUUUUAAAUUCAGCUGGAGGAAGACUGUGAUUUAUUCUCACAAGAGAGAAAUGCUGCUUUGCUACCAGCACGCUGGAGAGACUCCUCCAGCUCAUAAAAGGUGACCAGGUCUCGUGUUGAAGAACCACAUGAGCCACAUCUGUCCCUUUGCCUUGCCUGUUGCUUGGAGGUUUACAGCCAGCCAAGCUCCGAGGCAGUCAUGAAGAUGGCCUGAUCUGAGGCAUGCGCUCACCCCAACCUCUGUGCCAGAUGAAGGACAGCAGGAGAAGGGCUACAUGGAGUCUGCUGGAAGUCUCCAUUCUCACCUUAAGACCCAGCACCAGCCUACACUCUGAAUCAUGAAGGACAAAUAUCAGGUGCGGGAGGAGUCAAGCAGAAGUAUUUUCUGUGUGUUGCCUAUGGUGUGACACAAGAGGCAUGGCUUUUGGUUGUGCCUGCACUGGGAUCAGCCAGCAGGCAUGCUUCAAGAGACCUCCUGGUCAUGCUGACGUGGAGCAAGGCUUUGAGGCAGCCAAGUGGGAUCAAACCCAGCUGCCCUAGUUGGGACGCGGCACUGGCAGCACCGGGUGGCAGCUGGGUGGACAGGUCUGAGGCUUGGCGGCACCUAAAAGCUGGGCGUAGACACUUAAGGCUGUGCCUGAAUAGGUUGGCCCCUUUCUAGAUCUCACCCUAGGCUCCUAAAGGCUGAGUUUAUUCAUCACCCUAUGUGCUUUGCUUGCAGCAUUGGCUUCUCCGCUUGUCAACACGCCGUUUUCUGAAUUCUCAGUGCAAAGGAAGCCUUUCAUGGUUUGGCAUCCUCUUAUAUGUUUAUGCUUCUCAAGAUAUAUUCUCUAGCCAAGUCUUUAAGUUCUUACAUUAGUCCCCAAGCCCAGACAUCAAUCUGUUGCUGAUCAGGUCUUUUCACAUCAUGCUGCUUUUAUCUGGAAUGCUGUUUUUGAUGCUUCCAGGGAAGCUCUGCCUGAUGUUUUUAAGAAUGUGGUUAAUAUUUUUUUUUCUUUCUGUUUAAAACGACACUUGAGUACCGCUAUUUCUUUUAACCUUUUGCUUUUACUGUAAGACUUCAGCCAGAAAUUUGCCUUAUAAAUGCUAUUAUACUGGGGAGGUCCUGAUUUGCAUCUUUGUCCUUGGGUAAUGUAGAAGCAGCACAGGGGUCCACAAGCAGACAGAGACUGAUUUUUUUUCCCCCCUUUUAUAGUCUACAAUAAAAAGUUUCUUUAAAGGGGAAGAAAAGAGAGGCACAUGCUUAAUAUUGCAGAAAAGCCUUCUUGUGCUUGAUACAUUGGAUAAACGGUUCAAGAACACUUCAUCCUCCUACAACUAUUUCCCGCACUUCUGCCAAGGUUAGGGAAACCUUGGGUUAGCUGCCGUCUGAAUGCUGCAGGCUGGUAUCAGUCUGAACAAGUUCAGCUGACUGCUUAGAAGAUUUUCUUUAUUCUUCCUCCUGUUGUCUCUCCACUUUGGCAAAUAGAAAUCACCUUCGUCUUUGGGGGAGGCCUCGGCCUGAAAGCGCCCAACAAAGAGCGGCUGGCGGCAGGUCAAGGCCCUUCCAUUGAGUCGCCCAGUCCCCAUCAGAUUGUGUUGGUGAUCAGCCAGCUGUCAGGGAAACAAGGCUCUCCAGAUCAGCGUGGUCUGGGACCAGGUGGGUCGUAAAACAUGACAGCAUAUUUCAAUAAGUGACUGAAAGAUUAAAAUAAAAUUAAAGCCACGACAGCACAAAAAAAAAAAAAAUCCAAGAAAAAUCAAAUUCCUCCCUCAUAAGGAAGCUCCCACUUUUUCCACGCCAGCAAAGAAGGAAACAAAGUGCUGGAAAGCGAAAGUAUCGGGCAAGCGUGACUAACUACAAGUGGUGGAUGUGGUCCUGCCUUCCUCGCUCCCUUUGAACUGCCUCUGUACCAUGAACUAGCCCAUUAAUUUUCCUUUAGGUGAGCAUUUUGUCUCUAAUGUAUUGGGCGAUUAACCAGAGUCCAAACCAGAAGUUUCAAUUUAAAUUUAAACUUUUACAAUUAAAUAGCCUUAAAAAGAAACGUUCUGCCUCAUGCAGAAAUGGUUUGAGUUAGAUCAUUAUGUUACAAACAUGAAGGUGGAAUCAGCUUUGACAGAGUUAUAACCAUUUCUAUCACCAUGGAGCUGCCCCAGCAUUUGUGCAGACAACAAUACUCCAAGCUCGCUCUGUACAUUUCGUAGCGAGAGCCACCUGGGUAAAGCUGACCUACUGGCUCACUGAAAAUAAGACAGCAUACAUCCAAUUCCUCCUCUAAUGGUCAUCUGCUUCAUAAUAAGGAUUGCUCUAAUCAUCGUUUUUUCUAACAGGACCACAGCCUGGGCCUAAUUGUAAGAGCUACACUCAUUUAAAGACAGGGCAUGGAGAACACAGGGGUGGGGAAAAGCGCAAAAGCUUCAGCAGAUGAGGAAGAGCGAUUUCUUCUUCUGUGUUUUCCCUUGCUGAAACUGCUCAAGAUGUAUUACCAUGGCUACCCACCUGGGAAGGCAACACUUCUCCAGUUACGUUAUGGCAGCAGAAGGCUCCCCAGGAAAGGCUUCCUUCAGGUGAGGAGAUGCCAGUGACUAUUUCCACCACAAGCCCUCCUCCUCCCACGGUGCCCAUGCCCUCUGUGCUGGCCCUGGCCCCUCCAAAAUCUUCUGCAGGCCUGGGGCUGCCCCACGGAACCAGCCACAUGUACUCUGCUCUGCUCCAUGGGAGCCGCUCUGCACAGCACAGACCACAGCCAGGCGAGGAGCGAAGGGCAGAUGUUAGUGAAAAGGCAUGGUUAGUCAGCCCUGCUCCGAGCUGGUGUCCCACAGCGGUAACAUGUGCAGGAGCGCAUUUCUCCUAACGCAUGGAUGAGGAGGUGCCUGGACGGAUGGGCUACAUGUCAUGAUUUUCGACCCUAUUUUGUGAUAUCUCAUGGGGAACAUGGCCCUGCCCGAGAUCCCCUGCGCUGGACAGCAAUGGGGACAGAAGGGGACUGGCUGCUAGCAGCUGCAGACUCCCUGCUGCCCCAUCACAUGGCCACCCACCUGCAAACAGCAGCACCGUUUCCUGACCAUCCUGCGUGACGUCUUUGCAUUCCUAAAUCCUUAAAUCCCCCCCCUGCAUUUCCCCAUACACAACACGUCAGGAAAAGAGCAAGCCUAAGCCAGGGCUGCGCGGUGGCCUGGGCACCGGCUUCAUCACACCCCUACCCAUUAGCCAAGCUGACAUCGUUAAAGUACAUACUCAUUUAAGGAUUACUCUAACGUUGCUCAUUUCUAGGUCAAUUAUUGACUUAAAUCAUGUUAAACUUUAACAUAAAUAUGCUACAAUAUCACCUGUACAUAUAUUACGAUAAUUAUAUGGUUACAAAAUUCUUUUAAAACAGCAAUUUCCCCUUUGAAACUAGGGAAACUAGCUACUGCUGGAAAAUAAAGGCUCACGGACUGCUUUGAAAUCUACACAAAGAAAUAUGAAGAUUCCCAUUACCUUCACAUCAGCUUCUCAACAAACGAUAUUCGUAACUACCGUGAGAAGGAAAGCAGCACGCCGGAGAGGGUAAAGGAAUGAUCUGCGAAGGAGCAAUCACACGCAGCCUGGGAAAGAUUUGUUCAUCUUUCA
This is a long non-coding RNA of Gallus gallus (chicken), 8663 nucleotides long. RefSeq lists it as uncharacterized. The record is from RefSeq and is a predicted model, not a curated record. Lineage: Eukaryota; Metazoa; Chordata; Aves; Galliformes; Phasianidae. The transcript is spliced from 4 exons.